CCCACUUCAGUGCGAGCGCACAUAGACACAACAACGGAACGAAAUGAGAAGACAAUCCUCACACGCACACGUACGUGCACACGCUUGCGUCUCCUCAUAGAGUAAUCACUACUACCUUCUUCCCAUUCACGGUAAAAGCGCGCAUGUCUGUGAGCUCCCCGUCAGCGUCUCGUAGCGGGAGCUGCGGUAGAAACGACCGAAGCGGCAGCCGUGAAGAGGAGGAUAGGUGCCUGUUGUCGGUGUCCGCAACUGAAGGAACGCGCUCCAAGACAUCAGGCUCUGCGUCCACCGCCUCUGCCUCUGCCUCGUCCGCGUCUGGCGAGGACUCCUUGGCGGAGUUCAGCUCUAGUGGUGCCGCUACAUCCUCCGUAUCCCGGUCAGCAUCGGCCUCCACCUUCAGUACCGCAUCCUCGAGCACCGGCAGCUCUGGCGAAGGAGACAACGACGGAGACGACGCGGUGGAGGCGCCGCGCAAGCUGCCGCGCACGGAGGAGGUGGACCAUCGGCUGCGUGACUCAUUCCCCACCGGAGCAGUGACCACCGUGGCGCGAUCGGUGCGGAGCGGCGCAUCGAUUUUGCCACCUCCGCCAUCGCCGCCUGUCGGUGCGGCACGAUAUGGCCCCGCCUUCCCUCGCCGGCCGCCCGAUGCGUGGGCUGCACCGCCGCCGCUGCCUACUCUGAGCGCGUCUGCAAAGGACAUCAGUGAGAUGGACGUGCGCGCCGGCUUGCGCCUCGGUGUGUUCCGCGCGGCCACACGGCUGAGCAAGGAGCAGGUGAUGGACGAGAUCGAGUCGGUGCGCAUGACGAGCCACGUGGAACGAGUGCUUCUGGAGUCGCCUCAUCAGAUCGCGCUGCUCCCAGGCGUUCCACCACUGGAGCAGGAGUAUGCUUGGGCAACGGUUUUCUUCUCGAGCGCCGAGGCUGCGGACCUGUGCGCGGCCCUGCUUUGUCAGCCGGGCAGACGCUCCAAGUGGGCGCGUGUGAGUAUUCAGCGGCUACCCAUUGUGUCAAGUCAGACGGAGCCGCACACCGCCGAGGAGGAGCAGCGUGCGCAGGUGCACGUUUACCAGAUGAACGCCGUCGCGCACCGCCUGACGAAAGGGGACGGUGCCGCGCUCCUUUGCGGUGUCCACGACACCGUCCUCGCGCAGAGCGCCUAUGGGUGGUGCGUUCUGUCGACUGGGGGCCUCUUUCCAACCUCGGGCUUGGCGGCGUAUCUGAAACAUCGCCACGUCGGCAACUUCACGGGGAUCGACGUAUGCGCCGACUUUGAUCCGCGAUGCGACGAGGACAAGUGCGCGGCUGGUGGGCAGUGCAAAGGGGUGCACCUGCGCGCUUGCGAGCAGUGGCGAUUACUAGUUCCACCAGUGCUCAUAUCGAAAAGGGAGACCUUGACGGCCGGCACGCCGACGCUGGUGAUCACCUCGCCAGCGGAGAGCGCCUGGCAGAGGGCGAGACGCAAGGAUACGCUCCUCGUGAUGCCGCUUCCCCCUGAAAUCGAUGAAGCGGCCUUUGUAUACAUGUUUCGUUGGUGUGACGGGUUUCAGCGCGCGCAGACGGUGCGCACGGUGGAUGCUCUACGGUACGGUGUGGUGCAGUUUGCGGACGCCGCGAGUGCUCAGCUGGCGCGGCAGCAGGCCAUCUCCCACUCCAAUCUGCCCGUUCGCUUCGUGGGAGAGACGGCAGCCGAUGCCAACAGCACUGAGUCUUUGAAAGCCUCACCGGCGGCCUCGUCGACAGAGCCCACCGGCUCUGCCACGGCGCGCCCUCCCAACAAGUCCCGCACAGCUGCGCCGAGUGGCGCUAAUGCCGUGCCUGCUUCCGGUACCAGCACUGCCGCCGCGACGCACGCGCCGGAUGUCCCGUUUCCGCCUCUUCCCGGCGGCUGGGAGUACGGGCUGUCGCGCCGCACGAUGCAAUACUACUUUCUGCAGUCGGGCAAGAAGUCGACGACAUGGAAACAUCCUAUUACACAGGAACAGUACAAAGCCCACCGCUGACCGUCCUGGGACGAUUUCAUACCUCGUUUGCCUUUGGGCAGCCGGGCCGAGCAAAACGAGAGGUGCGUGGUCAAGUGGGCGUGGAGGGGAAGGGUGUAGACUGAGAGGGGACCUUCCAUCUCCUCUUCCCCCGCCACUGUCCCCCCCCCUUCUCCAUUCCUGUGAAGCCCAUUCUUUACUUCUCCAUACGUGACGUUUCACCGUCUAGUUUUGUUGUGGCGGUUGUGCGGAAAG
Molecule: unclassified non-coding RNA, 2234 nt
Filed under: Leishmania donovani
Lineage: Eukaryota; Euglenozoa; Kinetoplastea; Trypanosomatida; Trypanosomatidae
Description: gene:LdHU3.36.8280(CDS-product:hypothetical_prote in_conserved)
Source: RNAcentral